RNAcentral lists this ribosomal RNA (467 nucleotides) under uncultured bacterium. RNAcentral describes it as "partial 16S ribosomal RNA". It matches the Rfam family "Bacterial small subunit ribosomal RNA", at positions 28 to 507 of the family's 1533-position model. The record is from RNAcentral.
GACGAACGCUGGCGGCGUGCUUAACACAUGCAAGUCGAACGGAAAGGCCCUGCUUUUGUGGGGUGCUCGAGUGGCGAACGGGUGAGUAACACGUGAGUAACCUGCCCUUGACUUUGGGAUAACUUCAGGAAACUGGGGCUAAUACCGGAUAGGAGCUCCUGCUGCAUGGUGGGGGUUGGAAAGUUUCGGCGGUUGGGGAUGGACUCGCGGCUUAUCAGCUUGUUGGUGGGGUAGUGGCUUACCAAGGCUUUGACGGGUAGCCGGCCUGAGAGGGUGACCGGGCCCAGGCGGCUGCGGGAGGCACCAGGACGCAUUCGGGGGCGAGGGGCGGGAAAUUUACGAAGAAGGGCGGAGGGAUGAAGGAGGGGCGCCGGAUCGGGAAACUCGGCUUUGAGGUUGAAACCCAUUUUCGCGUGGGAAGAAACGUAGUGACGGUAAAUGGGUAAAAAGCCACGGCUAAAUAAGGG